GCCUCCUUCUAUUCGUGCUCUUGCUCACUGCAGGAAACAUUAAAAACGCCCUUUACGGCAACAUCCACAAACGUAGUAACGCUCACAGUACCGCCCUGCCCCUACCUCCUCCCUUCAGCACUCACAGAGAGGCGCGCCCACGAAGGAAUGGCCCGCCAGAAGUCGCGUAACUUGUGGAAUGACGGGGCGGGCACCAAGUCUGUGAACCGCCCUCAGCAGGUCACCGUUGCCAAGGGAUGGAAGGUGACGCCGGACCUCCUGCCAGUCAAGCCGCUGGCGCCGCGCCGGCGCAAAUACGCACCGAUUCGCCCCAACAACCGCGACGCAGUCGCCAUCCCGCUCGGUGGUCAGAGCUACAACCCCUUGGAUGAGGAGCACCAGGAGGCCCUUGCCAAGGCCGUCCGACAGCUUAACAAGAAGAAACGCAAAGACGAGAAGUUUGUGAAGAUGAUGACAAUGGGCCGCGGCAAGAACUACACGGGCAACUUCUCAGCGGACAGGACAUGGGAAGAGGAGGUGCAAGAGACGGCGCCCGCGACUGCAAAGACGCCAAAAAAGCAGAACACGAAGACGGCGCCCGCCUCCACCGGUGCGUCGUCGUCCGCAGCCUCGUCAGCGCCAAGCCCUGUGACACAGAACGGCAACGGUGCGAAGCAUGAAAAGGUAGCUGCGGCUCCGGCGGCCGUGGCGAAAAAUGGCAAGACAGCCAAAAAGCAAAAGAAGACAAAGAAGGCCACAGCGGAGGAGGCGAAGCGGGCCAUGACACACCGGCGUCACCCAAAGCGUGAUGUUGUAGCGAAAGAAACGGACGAGCUCGAUGUGCUGCUUGCCGCACAUAAGACAACGGCGUGUAAGCGCGAGGCGGCUCGGCAGAAGCGUCGCGCGGCGAAGAAGGCAAACCUAGCCAUUAAACACUACGGCCGGCACUACCACACCCCGCUAGUCCUGGACGUCACGCCAAGUGAUAAGCUCGUAGGCUCCUUGCGUCACCUCAGCGGCGGGUAUGUUCACCCGGCCUUGGAGCGCAUGAAAUCACUCGAGGAGCGCAACCUGGUGCCGGCGCGCAUGCGCCAUACUUACAACAAGCGCAAGGUGCUGAAGCCGAAGGGUGAGGUGCGCGUGAAGCGGGAGGAGUUCGGCGUGAUGCCCGAGACGAGUUUUUAAGCUGCAUGUCGAAGGAACUUGCCCUUUGCCCUCCCAUGUAUGCUUUGCUUGCUCACCUGAAGUGCGUGCACGAUCACGUCGUUUUGCUCUGGUGGUGAACGUUUCUUCGACUAAACUGCCGCUGUGUCGUGUGUUGUGUGUUUUGUAUCUCUUUCUCU
RNAcentral lists this unclassified non-coding RNA (1322 nucleotides) under Leishmania donovani. RNAcentral's name for it is "gene:LdHU3.35.3270(CDS-product:Nop53_(60S_ribosom al_biogenesis)_putative)". Lineage: Eukaryota; Euglenozoa; Kinetoplastea; Trypanosomatida; Trypanosomatidae. The record is from RNAcentral.